This 301-nucleotide ribosomal RNA is filed under the name uncultured bacterium. RNAcentral describes it as "partial 16S ribosomal RNA". It matches the Rfam family "Bacterial small subunit ribosomal RNA", at positions 509 to 809 of the family's 1533-position model. The record is from RNAcentral.
CAGCAGCCGCGGUAAAACGUAGGGUGCGAGCGUUAAUCGGAAUUACUGGGCGUAAAGCGUGCGCAGGCGGCUUUGUAAGACAGGCGUGAAAUCCCCGGGCUCAACCUGGGAAUGGCGCUUGUGACUGCAAAGCUAGAGUGCGGCAGAGGGGGAUGGAAUUCCGCGUGUAGCAGUGAAAUGCGUAGAUAUGCGGAGGAACACCGACGGCGAAGGCAAUCCCCUGGGCCUGCACUGACGCUCAUGCACGAAAGCGUGGGGAGCAAACAGGAUUAGAUACCCCAGUAGUCCCUGUCUCUUAUAA